This 412-nucleotide ribosomal RNA is filed under the name uncultured bacterium. Its description in RNAcentral is "bacterial SSU rRNA". It matches the Rfam family "Bacterial small subunit ribosomal RNA", at positions 28 to 439 of the family's 1533-position model. The record is from RNAcentral.
AUUGAACGCUGGCGGCAUGCUUUACACAUGCAAGUCGAGCGGCAGCGCGGGGGCAACCCUGGCGGCGAGCGGCGAACGGGGGAGUAAUGCAUCGGAACGUAUCCUCUUGUGGGGGAUAACCCACCGAAAGGUGGGCUAAUACCGCAUAAGCUCUGAGGAGGAAAGCGGGGGGACCGAAAGGCCUCGCGCAGGAGGAGCGGCCGAUGUCCGAUUAGCUAGUUGGUGGGGUAAAGGCCCACCAAGGCGACGAUCGGUAGCUGGUCUGAGAGGAUGAUCAGCCACACUGGGACUGAGACACGGCCCAGACUCCUACGGGAGGCAGCAGUGGGGGAAUUUGGUACAAUGGGGGGCGAACCCUGAUCCAGCCAUGCCGCGUGAGUGAAGAAGGCCUUCGGUUGUAAGACUCUUUGUC